AGCUGGCCGGCUCGGGCUCGCGGCCGCGACGCGCGCAGUUGCUGCGGUACGCCGGGGCGGGGCUGCCGGCUGCGGCCUGUGGGCAGAGCUCGACGCCGACUCCGCCGGCGCCGGCGGGCCGGCCUCCGGGACCUCCUUCUCCAUCGUGUCCGCGGUCACCUCACAGCUCGUCUUGGACCGGAUCCUGGCGGCAUCGGUGCGUGACUUCUCCUGAUAACGCCGGAGGCUGCAUAGUGAAGAGGCUGGUACAACUUCGACUCCACGUCUGAAUCAGCUGCACACUCUUUUGUUUCAGUCAGUUCAAAGCUUCUCUGCAUUCCUAACAUUUGUCAGUACAGGUCCAAACUUGUGUUAUUUGGUAUUUGCUCUGUACCUAGUUCCUCAACCAGUGGUAGUGCAUUUGGUUCCUCUUCGUUGCAGCUUGUGUUUAGUACACUUCAGUAGAGUUUCUCCAUGGUAUUUUCAGCUGCUGAGCCUGUCCUGCCUGCCUUUGGUGUCCAUGGUCGAGCCCAGUGUGUAAGAAUUUUUGCUGUGAGAAUGUCCGGUGAUAAUGACUUCAGGGAAUACUGUCAUACUAUCAGUUGUAUUUUGCUGUAAGAAAUGUCAAGUGAUGAUGACUGGAGUGAAUACUGUCAUACUAUCUAUCUAGUCACCUUUCAUCUCCAAUUUAUCAUGCACUAGUACAUCUUGCUGAUUUUGUCCAUGUCCUAACAAUGUUGUGUGCGUUCAUGUCCUGAAGUACAGAUCGUGCUCGGGGUCUACUACUACACCACGAGAAUGGUGGGAGGCACGGACGAGCUGCAGAUUGCGAUUGGGAGUGACUGAACAGAGUUUCUGUCGAGUGACCUCCUAAUGACUUCAGUUUCAGUUUUGAGAUUCACUAUGUUUUAGUUUCUGUGAACUACAAUCAUUUUGUACUUUUUGUACACCGAAGGGUUGGAGACUGUUCAGCAACACUAAUUCCAGUGCAGUACCUUAUUUGUUGUUCGUUAGUAGCAGCUAAGUCAUAGUGUUCUUAUC
Panicum virgatum (switchgrass) is the source of this 1020-nucleotide long non-coding RNA. RefSeq lists it as uncharacterized. The record is from RefSeq and is a predicted model, not a curated record. The transcript has 2 exons. NCBI's taxonomy places the organism in Eukaryota, Viridiplantae, Streptophyta, Magnoliopsida, Poales, Poaceae.